GGCCUGAUGGUCUAGUGGUGUAAGUAGCGUCCAACGCCUCGCUCUCCGCCCAUAUCUAACAACCCCCCCAGAUGAUUGUCGCUUCGGGUUAUCUUUACCUGGAUACAGUGUAUCUGUUCUGUGACAGGCCCCGGGUUCGAAUCCCGGUCAGGCCC
Molecule: transfer RNA, 155 nt
Filed under: Pyrenophora tritici-repentis Pt-1C-BFP
Lineage: Eukaryota; Fungi; Ascomycota; Dothideomycetes; Pleosporales; Pleosporaceae
Description: tRNA-Und (NNN) (tRNA-Und-NNN-6-1)
Source: RNAcentral